Quercus lobata is the source of this 2854-nucleotide long non-coding RNA. RefSeq lists it as uncharacterized. NCBI's taxonomy places the organism in Eukaryota, Viridiplantae, Streptophyta, Magnoliopsida, Fagales, Fagaceae. The record is from RefSeq and is a predicted model, not a curated record. The transcript has 8 exons.
CUCUCUCUCUCUCUCUCUCUCUUGCUCUAUAUAUCUCAUUCUCACUCUCUUUAUCGCACUUUCUCUCUCUCAUAGGUCAAUUUUCUUGUUAUUUUCUAGGCAACCAAACAGAAUUCAAUCGCUCCCUCUCUCUUGCUCUAUUUCUCGUUUUCGCUCCUCAUAGAUUUGGGCGGUUGAUUUUCCUAUUAUUUUCUAGGCAACCAAACGAAUUCUCGACUCAAAGUUUCGAUUAUUCUCCCUCCAAUUAGGUGCAUUGGAAGUUCAGCUCAAUGAAUGGUCAAGGAGAGGUCAAAUUUCACUAUUUGUGGGAUUGAAAGCUAGAACGUGUGUGAGUUCAAAUCACAAGUGCUUGUUAUGGAUCUUGUGCAACACCUCAAGACUUUGAAAUCUACGCUCACAAUGCUUCUUUCGAGGAUCCACUCAUGUGUGCUAAUGGCACUUUGAAGGUGAAACUCUUGAGCGGUUUCUAGUUGGAGGUCAUAUUACCAGUUGGUGCAUGGAUCUUGUUUCUAGCAAAAAUUUUCUCAUCAUUUUGCAAUCAAUAUUCUAUCAAAGCUAUAUGGAAAAAUAGAUCGUUACUUCCAAAUUGUUUGAAUAAGUUGCUUCUUUGUAAAAUUUUCACUUUCAGUCUAUUAUUGAACUAUUUCUGUAGGAAUUAUGUGACAAUUAAAACACAGAUCCCAAUCUUUUACCCCAAAUAAUUUAAAUAAAUGCAUUUAAGAUAUGAAGGAUUCUUAUUUUAAUAUAUCGAAAGCCCUUUUUCACUCUUUCACAUGCUAAGGGAUUAAAAGAAUAAUUUGCUCCAAAGCCUAUACUAUUUUUACUACUAGAAUUCAAUUCUCUAUGAUGUUUUGGAGGUUUAUAUUUUCUGAAAAAAAGAAAAAGAUAAUGAGCCAUGUCUCAAUUUCCAGUCAAUAUUUGAUGUAUUGCAAAGGAUUCAUCAAAAUUCUUCUUAUUCUUAUGGAUUUAUUAAAAUUCUUCUUAUUCUUAUCGACAAGUACUGAACAUUUUACUUGGUAUCAUUGAUUAAUCUGAUGCUUACUUCUAUGAAGUAGUCUGUCUUACAUAAUUUAUAUUUAUUGAUUUUGCAAGAUGAAGCAGAUAAAAUCAACAUUCUACUCACUUUUCAAGGUUUGAUUUUUAUGUCUGUAUUGGUUAUUGUUUUGCAUAUUCUCCCCUUUAUACAUUAGCUUGCCACCCUUUUAAUUUGGAUAUCAUAUAUGUGAGUUGUGAUAAAGGUGUUAUGAUAUAAUCUUUGAACUAGAAGGUUGGAGAUGUCAGCUUCUCAAGCCAUGCUUUGAUGGUCUGAGAUACUCUUUUAUGUGCUUCCUGCUUGGCCUACCCUAAUUCCCAAACAAGUAUAGUCAAACAUUUUAUUUUAAUAGUUGUUUCAGUACUGGGGGCAUUCAAAAGUGAUUUGGUAUUGAUCUUUGCCACAAUUUUGCAAGUUAUAAAAAUUAUUGUGAAAAAAAGUUAUGCUCUUAGCCUAACUCAUUCCUAAAUAGCUUUUUUGAAGUUAAAUUGUUAGUCUUCAUUGCCAAUAUGCACUACGAAAUGUUAAAUGCUAUUGUCUUAAUGGUUUAUUUAUUGUUUGAACAUUACAAAUGGUUUAUGCAUAUCAACUGUAAACUCUUUUUCUUGCUUCCUUAGUCACAAAUGCUAGGCACUCUUCCAUUAUUAAUACUAAACAACUUUUGACACCACUCACUGUAAAGUAGGUUUAGGUAAUUAGGUAAUGACUGCCUUAACACUUUUUAAGGCUGUGGAGGGACGAGGGUGGAAUGGGACCAUCUGAAUUUACAUAAAGGAGAGCCAUUUUUUUUUUUCCAAGAUGAAACUUUUUUCUUUAUUUUAUUUUAUUUUUUACUUUGGGCAUGCAGCACUUGGAAUAACACCUGCCUCUAUUGUGUUUAAUUUUUUAUAUUUCUUUUUAUAUGGAAUUGAGUUUUUGACAACACCCCCUCCUGAGGGAAUAGGACCCUCUGGAUUUACAUUAAGGAGAUGAAUCAGAGCAAUGGAGAUGAUUUGAAAACACCCAAGGAAAUUAGCCUUGGAAUUAUUGGAAACCUUGCCUGCCAUGAAGCUCUGUUGAAGCAUAUAGUUUCUACAAAUGGAUUGAUUGAGAUAUUUGUGGAUCAACUAUUCUUAGAAGAUUCUCAGUGCCUUUGUGAAGCUUGCUGGUUGUUAACUUUGGGUAUUCAAAGUAGUGAAUGCAUUACAUGGGCUAAAGCAUUGUAGUUUGAACAUGUUAUAUACUAUAUUUUAUGGAUUGUGGAAAAUACCCUAAAUCUCCAGCUUAUUGAAAAGAGUGUUGGACUAUUAUUAGCCAUCAUUGAAAGUCAGCUGGAAGUUUUGCAUGUACUUCUUCCGCCUUUGAUGAAACUAGGUUUACCAAGUUUAUUGGUUAAUCUCUUGACUUUUGAGAUGAGCAAAUUAAUGAGUGAAAGAAUACCUAAAAGGUUGUCUUUGAUGCACCCAAUGGUGUAAUAUCUACAAUGAAACCUGGAGCAAAUUGGGUGGUGAUGCACGUGUUAAAGUGGAUGUAUGUGCCUUAUGGAGUAAGGAAAAUAUUGGAGGGAUGGGGUUGUCCUCUACGUGGAAGUACAUGAAGAAAGGAUGCAUCAUCAUUUUUUUCAAUGAUACUAGCAUUUGUCAUCGGCCUGGCCUUCUUGUUGGGAAGUGGCACUUCUUCAUAUAUCUGUUACUCGAGGAUAAUUGAUGGAGCACAGUGGUUUUCAAUUUUUUUUUUCUUUUAAUUAGCCAUUUUGAAAACUUGGAACCAUUUGAAUACUUAAAAAUUAGGCUGGUGCUUUGGUUUUUAUAUGAGAAUGGAGUUUAAUUUGGAAUUGCACAA